UAGCAUAUUAAUCAGCGGAGGAAAAGAAACUAACUAGGAUUCCCUCAGUAACUGCGAGUGAAGCGGGAUGAGCUCAAUGUGUGAUUUGGGUUUGGCGUACCCCCUUGUCCGAGUUGUGCACUAUAGACGCUGGAUCUGCACCUGCGUUCCUAAUGGCGGAAGUCCAAUGAAACACGGCGCCAUGGAAGGUCACAGUCCUGUCCCUGCCUCUUAGGACGCGUGCUUACGACCGGCGCUCUGCGAGUCGCGAAUGUUUGUAUUGCUGCGCUUAUCGGGAGGUAGAGCCCUUCUAAAGCUAAAUAUUGCAACGUGACCGAUAGCACACAAGUACCGCGAGGGAAAGGUGAAAAGCAACUAUGAAGAAUAGGUUGAAACAGUAGUGAAAGCGUUACCGGGAUAAGGGCUGUUGGAUGUUAGGGCCGAUGGCACGUGCUUCAGUGCUGUGCCGUAGGACGGCCCACGCGGGUUCGGAUGCCGGGAAAAGCGCCUUGGGAAUUCGGCCGCUCCGGCGGUGUUGCAGCCCGAGUGCGAACGGACCGGCUUCGGACCCUCUCGUGGGUCUUGCGGACGUCAGCCUCCCGUCUUGAAACACGGACCAAGGAGUGUACCUUGCGUGCGAGUCGAAGGGACUGUAAUCCCGGAGGCGUAGCGAAAGCGAUGCUCAUGAAGUCCUCACGGACGCCAGUGGCACCCGGACUUGUCCGAGGUAGAGCACGUAGGGUGCGACCCGAAAGAUGGUGAACUAUGCCUGGGCAAGGUGAAGCCAGUGGAAACGCUGGUGGAGGCCUGUAGCGAUUCUGACGUGCAAAUCGAUCGUGUGACCUGGGUAUAGGGGCGAAAGACCUAUCGAACCCUAAAAUGUCUGGUUCCCCCCAAA
Molecule: ribosomal RNA, 877 nt
Filed under: Tulasnella deliquescens
Lineage: Eukaryota; Fungi; Basidiomycota; Agaricomycetes; Cantharellales; Tulasnellaceae
Description: partial large subunit ribosomal RNA
Rfam family: Eukaryotic large subunit ribosomal RNA
Source: RNAcentral